Molecule: long non-coding RNA, 5108 nt
Organism: Dasypus novemcinctus (nine-banded armadillo)
Lineage: Eukaryota; Metazoa; Chordata; Mammalia; Cingulata; Dasypodidae
Source: Ensembl
AUGACUCCUCUUCCUGUUCCCGGGAGACGCGGCGAGACAGAAAAGAGGCGCUCGAGGGACGCCAGCACAUUCACCACGAGCCGACCGGCGGCUCCGCGCCGCCCCUGCCGGCCCCAGGCCUUCCCCCCGACAGAGGGGCCCCUGCGGCCGGGAGGCGCGGUGGCGCAGCGGCCGCGGCCGCCUUGGUUCCGGCCCCGCGCUCGGGCUCGGCGCGCAGGGCCCGCCGGGCUCCUGCUCCGCGCGCUGCGGCCGCCGGCUCAGCCCACGAAGCAGAAACGACUCUCGCUCGAAGAGGUCGCAAGGGAAAAUGGCUUCGGGUUUUCCAGUAGACGCUGGAGAACUAACCCCACCCAACUGCCAAGAGCUGGAGAAAAGAGAUUCUUACCAUGGUUGCUGCUUCGCGGCUGCCGAGCAGAUGGCGGAGAAGAGGAGAGGUUUUUGCUUCUUACAGCGCGACUCUUAGGCGGUCGAUGUAAGAGAACCUGCGGCACAUGGGCGGAUGCGGCUGCCUAUAUACAGCUCGGUCACCAUGGGGAUGGACCGGGGCCUUUUCCUGUUGGUCCAGACCCCUCAAUCUGCCCAGAGAAGCCACGACAAGAGAGUGGUGAUUGGUGCAAGCGACAUGGGAUGAGAAAUCUUCAGGUGCCUGUGCUUUUGAACGCGUGCGUAUCCAGCAAAAUCAGAGGAGACCCUGGCUCUGUUUCAAAGCCUGUGAAGCAGGCUCCGUCCCUUGAGUUCAGCACAAAUAAAUGGAGCUGCUAAGGGGAACCGGGUAAGCAUGCUGAUUUUUGUAGUUACAGCCUGUCCCACAUAACUCAUUUACAAGGCCAGCGAGGACCACAAUUUACCAGAACCGAGAACUAUGUAAUUUAAAAUGAGGAAAUUUUGCUCUAUCAGAAACAUGCAAAGACCUUUCAUGGCUUAUAUUCCUGACUCUAUGGGAACAAAAUAUGCCGAAGGGUAAGGAAAAAAGUACAUGGACCAGAGGAUUAAAAUAGCAAAGUGUUAUAAAAAUAAGAGGACUGUAAACCCGGCCCACAUCUGUCAGACCCGUGAACUCGCUUCCUCCCUUCGCUGACUCUCAUUACCAAGGGAUUUGGGAACUAUUUGAGGUUUGGAUAAUUUGGGGAAAGAGCCAUGUAAAGCUGUAGAUCUAAAAAUGGUUCCAUAUUAAUACUUAGAGACAGCAGACAGGGCCCAGAAACGAGGCCCUUAAAACUAGUCUCCCGAGGGAAAGGGGUUGGGGUCGAGUGGAAGGCUGGACUGGAGGAGGCGCGGGCCUCCUGUGUGACCUUGUUAGAUAAGUUACUUAACCUGGGAGCAGUAGCUUCCUCGUCUAUAAAAUGGAGGUAACAAAGUGGAGAGUUUGUGCAUAAUAGAGUAAUUGCGAAGGCGGAACAAGGCAAAGCCCGGACGCUCCCAGUUCAGAGAGGAAAGCCCCUGGUGGUGGGGGGGGAGGUGCUGGGGCUCAAGGGGGUGGGGCAGAAAAGAAGCCGGGGGCCUUCAGAACCCAUGAGACGAAAGGCCUGGAGAAGAACCAUGAGCGAAUUGACUGGGGUGGAGGGGCUGGGAGGGAGCCGCUGGCCUCUAGUCCCGGAAGGCGGAAUUCGGAGAAGCCGCCAGGCUGGGUUUUGGGCUUGAGUUGGUGAUGAGGAGAGGGUUCAGCCUGAAGCCAGGGAAGGAACCAGGCUUGGAAACAAUAAAGAACUUUUUAUGCCAGGACCAAAAGAACGAAAGAAAUGGCCUGAUUUGGUACUAGCAUGGAGUAAAAGGAGUGGAAUAUUGCUAAAUGUUUAAUAACUGUCUGGGGGUUGUCACUAACUUGUAGUAGUCACCAAUUUCCACGAUGCCAGCACACUGCUGAUUUCAGGCUACUAAGGCGGUAUCACCAGCUGACAGAAGUCCUGCAACUCUAACGACUGGCUCCAGCAGGCUCCAGCACUCCAGUGAGUAGAGGGAAGCGCACAAAAGACUCCUGAGAUGGUUCAGAUUCAAGGAGAAGCUCGGGGACUUGAAGUGGGGAGAAACAGAGGAACUGAAAGAGGCCAAAUGCUCUCAGCCACAUUUGCGUAGCAGGAGCCUGUUUCAGUUACUUAACUCGCUGGCUAUAAUUUGUGCACUGAUAUUGCCUUGAAGUACUAUCGUCCUAAUUUUGUGGGGGGGCAGAAAUCAACACUAAGUAUACUUGAAAAUGGCUGGCUCUGUGUCCUGGGAGCAGGAGGAGGGGCAGGUAGAUAGAAAAGCAAAAGGAGGGAAGCGGACUUGGCCCAGUGGUUAGGGCGUCGUCUACCACAUGGGAGGUCCGCGGUUCAAACCCCGGGCCUCCUUGACCCGUGUGCAGCUGGCCCAUGCGCAGCGCUGAUGCGCGCAAGGAGUGCCACCCCACAUAGGGGUGUCCCCUGCAGAGGGGAGCCCCAUGCGCAAGGAGUGCUCCGCAAGGAGUGCUCCGUAAGGAGAGCCGCCCAGAGCAAAAGAAAGUGCAGCCUGCCCAGGAAUGGUGCCGCACACACUUCCGUGCCGCUGACGACAGCAGAAGCAGACAAAGAAACAAGACGCAGCAAAUAGACACAGAGAACAGACAAACGGGGGAGGGGAGGGAAUUAAAUAAAAAAAUAAAUCUUUAAAAAAAAAAAAAGCAAAAGGAGGAAAACUGUCCUGAGAUACACAGGCAAUAAGUAAAUCCCCCAUUGCUGGGGCUAGUGGCAAGAAGCUAUAGUCACAAGGGGAAAAAAAAAACACAAAAAAAACCCUCAGGGCCUUCUACUUUGGGCCAUCUAAAGUUAUAUGAAUAAAUGAAAUGAUUAAAUAAACAUUUUCAUAAACAAAAGAUUUCCCAAGUCCAGAAUAUGGUCCACUUAUUGGAAUAAUAAGAAUGUGGGCUGUUUCUUUCAAUUUUCUGCAAGAGAGUUUUAUGGCUUGGAGGGGACAUGGAAGGAAGGACAAGGGAAUGGCUUUUAAUUACAGGGAAGAGCAGAAGAACUGGGGUAAGCAGGCUGAAGUGACAGGGAGUGAGCCCAGGGGAAGUGAUGUGGGCUAUGGGUGGGAGGCUCUUUGUCUCUUUGGAGAUAACCUAAGCUGUCUGUCCUGACUUGUGGGUAUGGGACUGUAAGAGGCUGCAGUCCUGCCCUUGGUGAGCAUGGCAACAACUCCAGUCCUGGGAGGCCAUUUAGCAAUGCAAACUCCAUAUACAUACCAGUCAGUCCAGAGAAACUCUUACGGUGGUGAUGCCGAAACUUAAGGGAACUUGGACUUGGCCUCGAAUAGGAAAUAUAAUAUAGCCUGUGCAUAAAUUCAAAACCAUCUAAUUCUGUAUCCAAGUGUGCCUAGUCUCUAGAAAUCCAGUUAAGUGAUAAGGGCUUUGAAUGUUCAGAAAAGAUGUAACACUGAAUGUGUAUUCAAAGUUGCAUCCAGAUGGAAUGUGGGCAAGAUGCUAAUUCAAACUCACCUGAAAUGUGGGUGAUAUGUUAAUUCAAAACCUACCUGGUACUCAGGCAAAGACUUAACUAACAAAGAAAGUAGUUUUCUUUGAUAAAAGCACCAUUUGACUCCCCACCCUGUAUAAAAGGAACUUGAAAAUCUUGUUCCGGGGGCUCGGGUUUGAAACAGGAAGCUCCCGAGUCCCACCGGCCGUCAAUAAAUCAUUUUUCCUUCUCAAAAUCAUUCCUUAGUCCUGGCCUUUCUAUAUGCAAAUAACUGAACCUCUCUCAACUUCUACAACAGAAGCACAACUGUGCUCAGCUGCCCAGGGGGUCACUGUGAGAAAACGACUCAGCGCACUGUACUGUUAAGGGUACAGAAAGCAGAUCAGAACCAGCCAGAUAACAUCGCGGUGGAAAGAAACUGCAAAAUCUCAAAGAUGAAAACCAGUCUUCUAUGGUAAUGUCCCAGAAUGGAGCUAACUUUUCACAUACAAAGACCUGAUGGAAGGGAAGUGGGCCAAAACACUGUGUUUAGCUCGGGGAGGAAGAGGACUUUGAAAAGAAUUUGCAAGAAAGUUAUAAAAGUUGUAAAUAUUUGUGGGAGAAAAAAAAAGCAGUAAGUAAAAGUUAAAGGCUCUAAGGAUUAUUUUUCCCAGAAAAGAAAAUAUAUAUUAUCUAGAAGAUAAUGUCCUGCUAUUUUGUAUUUACAAGGGCUAAAGAGAAGAAAACAAGACUGCCUUGAAAUACACAGAUUUUAAAAAAACGUUUAUUGUUAAUUGCGUGGUUGCACUUAGCUGCAAGGAGUCCCAGCUGUCCUUAUAGGUCUUGAAAUAGGACAAAUUCUCUUUUUUCUUGUUAGAUUAAUUGUAGCCUUACCUAAAGAGGACAAAUUCAAUAAAUUCUCUAGGACUUUCUUUCCCUAAGAACCAGAAUCAGAAACAGGCUGACAAAGGGCCUAGAGGUAAGAGGUAACUUGUCCUUUUGGGCAUUUGUUCUGGGCUCUCUCUCUUUUGGUUUAAGGUAAAUUAUUUCAUGUCUCAAGACCUUAGUUCCCACCAUUCCAUAGUAAAUACGUUUGUCAAAAACAACUCCUUGACUACUCUCCCAAAGCACUGUUGGAGUAAAAAAUACUUUGCUAUAAAUUACCAAAUGAGCACAAAAUAUUCCUGUAUACCAUUGUCCUGGUUUGUCUUUUGUGGACCCCAGAAAAUUAUGUUCUUUAAGCUAACCCAUACCUAUGCCUGUAAAUGCAGUGCAGAUGGGGCCUUUUGAUUAGAUUCAGUUAAGGCACCUUUGAUUAGAUCACUUGAUUAGAUCAGCAUAGGGCUUUGCUUGGACUAGGCAGUGAGGCAUGAUCCAGGUUGUGUCUCUGCCCUCUUGGGUCUUAUAUAAGCUGAGAACUAGAAGCAGAAACACACAGUGAGAAAGACAGCUGUCUUUUAGACCCUGCCACAUGAAAGAGGACUCCAGGGUUAGUAACAGCUGAGAGAGGGGCCAAAAGCUGGUAUCAGCAAGAAGCUGAAAGAGGCCCCAGAAGAGAUGGCCAUAUGCCUGAUCAUCCACAGCAGAACUCCAGGAGAAGGUGAUCCUGAAGGGGAAGGCAGGGACUUUGGCAGAGAUUGGCUACCAUCUUGCCUUGCCAUGUGGCAGGACUCUAGGAUCUGCUGGCAGACAACCUUUGGUGAGAAA